This 707-nucleotide ribosomal RNA is filed under the name uncultured organism. RNAcentral's name for it is "bacterial SSU rRNA". It matches the Rfam family "Bacterial small subunit ribosomal RNA", at positions 709 to 1407 of the family's 1533-position model. The record is from RNAcentral.
CCGGUGGCGGAAGCGACCAACAUGAGGACGGGCCGGACGCUGAGGCACGUAAGCAUGGGGACCGAACCGGAUUACGAUACCCGGGUAGUCCACGCCUGUACACGAUGUCAGCCUCUGGAGUUAGGCAGGAAGAAAGAGCCGCUGAGUGCCAAAGCUCACGCGAUAAGCCGACCGCCUGGGGAUUACGAGCGCAAGCGUCAGACUCAAAGGAAUUGACGGGGGCCCGCACAAGCAACGGAGCGUGUGGUUUAAAUCGACGCUACGCGAAGAACCUUUACACCAGGUUUGACAUGUGUCUGCAAGUGCACAGAAAUGUGUGACCUUCGAGGGUGCCACACAGGUCCAGUAUGACUGUCGUCAGCUCGGAUCGUGAGAUCCUGGGUUAAGUCGCCGCAACGAGCGCAAACGCCUUACUGCCAGUUACUUGUGUCUGGAGGGAUCUGCCUUCACUAAUGGAGGAGGAAGACGGGGACGACGUCAAGUCCGCAUGGCCCAUACACCUGGGUCGACACACACGAUACAAUGACCAGCACAUAUGCGUCGCAAGCACGACAAGUGUUAGCUAAUCCGUCCGAAAGUCUGCUAUCAGUACAGAUCGGGGGAUGCAACUCGCCCCCGUGAAGAUGGAGUUGCUAGUAACCGCGUAUCACCCAUGGCGCGGUGAAUACGUGCCCGGGCCAUUGUACACACCGCCCGUCACGUCAUGG